UACGUAGGGGGCUAGCGUUGUCCGGAUUCAUUGGGCGUAAAGGGUGCGUAGGCGGCGCGGUAAGUCAGGUGUCAAAUCCUCAGGCUCAACCUGGGGCUCCACCUGAUACUGCUGUGGCUAGAGUCCGGUAGGGGAGCGUGGAAUUCCUGGUGUAGCGGUGAAAUGCGCAGAUAUCAGGAGGAACACCAGCGGCGAAGGCGGCGCUCUGGGCCGGAACUGACGCUGAGGAGCGAAAGCGUGGGUAGCAAACAGG
Molecule: ribosomal RNA, 253 nt
Filed under: uncultured bacterium
Lineage: Bacteria
Description: partial 16S ribosomal RNA
Rfam family: Bacterial small subunit ribosomal RNA
Source: RNAcentral